This 2035-nucleotide long non-coding RNA is filed under the name Coffea arabica (coffee). RNAcentral describes it as "long non-coding RNA (CARA_LNC005863)". The record is from RNAcentral. Lineage: Eukaryota; Viridiplantae; Streptophyta; Magnoliopsida; Gentianales; Rubiaceae.
UUUCUUUUAUUCAUCUGCAAGGCUAUGAGAAAGAAAUAGCAGAGGUAGAAAAUAGUGGUAUUAGUGAAUAGAAGAGUGAAAGUGAAGAUAUGCUGCAAGGGAUUUCUUUUAUUCCUUGUGUGAUUGUCAUGAGUUCUUGUUCGUUCUACACAAUUGGAAGAUGUGCAACGAGGGAUUGCUAUGCUCGAAGGUGAUUUCUCAGAUUUUACAUUCUUAUUUUUAACCUGUCAAUGUCCAAGUGCUCUAAAAUCUUUUUUUUUUUCGUUUGUUUAACAUCAAAAUCUGGUUCUUUGCAUAAUUUGUGUCCCUUUUUUCCCCCCUAAACACUAAAUCUUAUCGAAUAUUUUCAGCAUCUUGCAAAUAGUUGUCGUUCCUUGUGUUGCUCUGUUACUUUAUGCAUGUUCAGUCACAUUCAACUUACAAAACGAAGCAGACAGAACAACUUUAUACCUUAUAUUUUGAUCCAUGUUUAGUUCUCUUAACCUCCUCUUCUUAUUAUUAUUUUUUUAAACUCUUUUUCCAAAAAAAUUUUAAACUAUUUAGGCAUUGCAGCAUAAUGUGUCCAGUUUCUAUGUAGUACUAUGAUGGAUUGUGAUGAUUUAUCCAUCUCCACCUCUUUUUUUGGGAACUUGGACUGAUGUUGUGGUUUUUUACAUCUUGGUUUGUUGUAUUUGCUUUUCCUUGGGAUGAUUUUUUCAAAAAAUGGCUGUUUAGUGUUUUUUGCUUGGUUUUCUCUUCUGUGCAUGCAAAGUUGUUUUCUUUAUUUUUUUUUUCUGCUUUGAUUUGUGGUUGUAGGCCUUGAAGAAUUGGUUAUUUAGUGAGUUAUAUACUCAUUUUCUUCUUUAAAUUUCGCUUUAAACUGGAAUGCAUUUUUCAGUUUCUCUCAUAAGCAGAAUAACAAAUAUAUGGUAAUAGGUGGCUGGCUUAAUCAGAUGUAUAAUUUGUAUACUAAAGAGCAGAAAUUAGCAUUGAAAUUUCUCUCUUUGAUUGUGUCGUGUUGAUCUCCUAAUCAUAUUAUUUUCAAGUACUUGCUUCUAUGAAAUGUUGAAGAACAAUUUAGAGAUGAGUUGAUUACAACUCGGAUACAAAUUACAUCUAAUUGAAUUAUAUCUAAUUGAAUUACAACUCGGUUUCAAAAUUAACUAAGGUUGUGAUUUGAUUGUUUGAUUUUCCUUGGGCCUAUAGUUACAUCAUUGUCUUAAUCUUCUCCAGCUUCUUUUUGUGUUUAGAUUUCCAAUUUCUUGGACUCUGGCUUCAGAACAAGUAGAUUGCUCCUAUAAUCCUUUUGUGUUCUCCAUGAGAAGAUCUUUGGUGGUUUGAAACGUUAGUGCAUUUUUUUCCCUUGGGAGAUUUUUUUUUAAAAAAACUGGUGGUUUAGUGCCUUUUGCUUGGUUUCCUCUUCUUUUUCUCGUUUUCGUGCAUGCAAAUUUAUUAUUAUUUUUUUUGUAAUGUUUUGUUUUGAUACUUUGGUGGUUCCAAGGCUUGAAGGAUUGGUCAUUUGUGAUUAAUUAGUGGAUUCCAUAAGAAAUAGGUUCUGAUUGAUGAGAAUCGAAUUUUCAUUGCAGUUUUGAAUUUUUUACCUCAAAUUUUUGGGUUUAAUUGCUUUUGGUGUUUGACAAUAUGAUAUAUGAAGGAAAUUUUGUGCUUGUUGUCUCUUGAUUUUGUAUAAAAUGGAAAUUCUUUGUGUGUCUAUUUUUCUAUUGAAGGAAUAGAAUUUGGAUUGUGAAAAAUGAUGUUCUUAAUGGUUGUCAUGGUCUUGUGCAUAUUUUACAUUGUGGUACUGAUAUUUUGCAAUGGAGUCAAGAGAUUAAUUUACAUUGUGGGGUAUAUUGGCUAUUCAUACUUAUGCGGUUUAUGAUUAUCCUUGUGAUUUUUUGCUACAGAAUGUUGAACUGGGUGACGAUGUGGUUGAGCAGCUAAGAAGAAGGAAUCUGUUAUGCUGUGUUAGGCAUUCAUGUAGUCUGAUUAGGAGUGUGACUCAAUGUUAAAUUGAUUAUUGUAAUCUUUUAAUUUGUUCAGCCUUUUUCUAGAGAAC